RNAcentral lists this long non-coding RNA (476 nucleotides) under Homo sapiens (human). RNAcentral's name for it is "non-protein coding lnc-RBMY1J-3:1". Lineage: Eukaryota; Metazoa; Chordata; Mammalia; Primates; Hominidae. The record is from RNAcentral.
CAAAAUGGUGGAAGCAGAUGGGCCUGGAAAGCUUUUCAUUGGUGUCCUCCGUUUAGAAAGUAAUGAAAAGACACUUAAAGCAGUAUUUGGGAAAUAUGGUCCCAUACUGGAAGUUCUUACCAUAAAUGAUUGGGAAACCAGCAGUUUCAGAAGCUUUGCAUUUAUUCUGAGAAUGCUGCAGAUGUCUUUCUGUGGAAAAGCAAUAAAAGUAGGACAAGUCAACAAACCGUCUUUUCAAAGUGAUGUUAGGUGAAGACCACCACCUUCUUGGAGAAGCAGGAGCCUUCAGGAAGUCUGAGAUCUGCAAAAGGAGGUAGUGGAGGAACAAAAGGGUUGCAUCCCUCAUAUGAAGGACAUUUGGUUCCCACAUCAGGUUGAUGAGAGAAUUAUGGAGGUCUUCUAUGCAGAGAGCCAGUCUGUUCCCAGAGAAAUGACCAUGUGUCACCAAGAGAUGAUGGUUAUACAACUAAGGAUAG